AUCGCCAUUCCGAUGGGUUCUUGCAUCAUCAACAAUUUUGAUGAUCUUAUCAUUACUUGCUGUUUCCUCAAGCGUGGUGGAAUGAGUCUUCUAAACGGAGGUUGCUGCUCUUGUUGUUGUUGUUGUUGUUGUUGUUGGAGUUUCAUCAGGCGAGGAGGGAUGUUGGGUGUGUGGUGAUGAUUGUGAGGAGGCUUUUCUCGGAGCAGUUGCUGCUUCAGGAUGCGAGGCGGUUCCAGCUUCAUCGACUUCCUUCUUCCCAUAUUACUACUUCUCUAAGCUUACUCUCUCAGUUUUCUUUCGUUUUUGUGACCAUUGACCUCUCUUG
RNAcentral lists this long non-coding RNA (325 nucleotides) under Citrus sinensis (sweet orange). Its description in RNAcentral is "long non-coding RNA (CSIN_LNC001734)". The record is from RNAcentral. Lineage: Eukaryota; Viridiplantae; Streptophyta; Magnoliopsida; Sapindales; Rutaceae.